RNAcentral lists this ribosomal RNA (253 nucleotides) under uncultured bacterium. Its description in RNAcentral is "partial 16S ribosomal RNA". It matches the Rfam family "Bacterial small subunit ribosomal RNA", at positions 524 to 776 of the family's 1533-position model. The record is from RNAcentral.
GACAGAGGAUGCAAGCGUUAUCCGGAAUGAUUGGGCGUAAAGCGUCUGUAGGUGGCUUUUCAAGUCCGCCGUCAAAUCCCAGGGCUCAACCCUGGACAGGCGGUGGAAACUGCCAAGCUGGAGUACGGUAGGGGCAGAGGGAAUUUACGGUGUAGCGGUGAAAUGCGUAGAUAUCGUAAGGAAGACCAGUGGCGAAGGCGGGUCUCUGGACAGUUCCUGACGCUGAUGCACGAAGGCCAGGGGAGCAAACGGG